Molecule: ribosomal RNA, 453 nt
Filed under: Triticum aestivum (bread wheat)
Lineage: Eukaryota; Viridiplantae; Streptophyta; Magnoliopsida; Poales; Poaceae
Description: partial small subunit ribosomal RNA
Rfam family: Small nucleolar RNA Z247 (bases 220-358)
Source: RNAcentral
AUGAACUCCGUCUCCAAGGAGGCCCUCACGCAGAUGGUAUCGGUUGAGACGAUGCACGCGGCCUGGACUGUGUUGAAGAACAUGUUCUCUUCACAGUCCCACUCCUGCGUCAACAAUCUUCACACCGCCCUCGCCAGUGCGCAGAAGGGCAAUCAACCUAUUCCCGUCUACUUCUCCCGGAUGCGGUCGCUCGCCGACGAGCUUGCGGCCGCCGGCAGGCCCAUAGAAGACGACGAGCUCAUCUCCUUCAUCCUGGCCGGCCUCUACCUUGACUACAACCCUCUGGUAUCCGCCCUUGAUGCUUGCACUGAGCCUGUUACUCUCGAUGUCCUGUACUCGCAGAUGGCCAACUUCGAUCAGCGGGUGGAGUUGUUCCACGGCUCUAGCAGCAACGGCGGCUUCAAGUCUUCCGCAAACGCUGCAGCUCGCGGGCGGGGCUACCAGCAUGGAUGA